Molecule: ribosomal RNA, 254 nt
Filed under: uncultured bacterium
Lineage: Bacteria
Description: partial 16S ribosomal RNA
Rfam family: Bacterial small subunit ribosomal RNA
Source: RNAcentral
GACGAACCGUGUGAACGUUAUUCGGAAUCAUUGGGCUUAAAGGGCGCGUAGGCGGCGGCGUAAGUUGGAAGUGAAAUCCCAUCGGCUCAACCGUGGAAUUGCUCCCAGUACUGCGUCGCUCGAGGGGGAUAGGGGUCUGCGGAACUACCGGUGGAGCGGUGAAAUGUGUUGAUAUCGGUGGGAACGCCAGUGGCGAAAGCGGCAGACUUGACCCUUCCUGACGCUGAGGCGCGAAAGCUAGGGUAGCAAACGGG